This 480-nucleotide ribosomal RNA is filed under the name uncultured bacterium. Its description in RNAcentral is "partial 16S ribosomal RNA". It matches the Rfam family "Bacterial small subunit ribosomal RNA", at positions 28 to 507 of the family's 1533-position model. The record is from RNAcentral.
GAUGAACGCUAGCGGCAGGCCUAACACAUGCAAGUCGAGGGAGAGGUUACCUUCGGGUAACCAACACCGGCGCACGGGUGCGUAACGCGUAUACAAUCUGCCUUUCACAUAGGGAUAGCCCGAAGAAAUUUGGAUUAAUACCUAAUGGUAUAUAAGAGCGGCAUCGUUUUUAUAUUAAAGCUACGGUGGUGAAAGAUGAGUAUGCGUUCUAUUAGCUAGUUGGAGAGGUAACGGCUCCCCAAGGCGACGAUAGAUAGGGGUUCUGAGAGGGAUGUCCCCCACACUGGUACUGAGAUACGGACCAGACUCCUACGGGAGGCAGCAGUGAGGAAUAUUGGACAAUGGUCGGAAGACUGAUCCAGCCAUGCCGCGUGCAGGAUGAAGGUCCUAUGGAUUGUAAACUGCUUUUGGAAGGGAAGAAUAAGGAGUACGUGUACUUUGAUGACGGUACCUUACGAAUAAGCAUCGGCUAACUCCGUG